CAGGACGAACGCUGGCGGCGUGCUUAACACAUGCAAGUCGAGCGGAGAAUAUAGCAAUAUAUCUUAGCGGCGGACGGGUGAGUAACGCGUGGGCAAUCUGCCUCAUACAGGGGGGAUAACACUGGGAAACUAGUGCUAAUACCGCAUAAAAUAGUGAAGUGGCAUCACUUUACUAUCAAAGGAGCAAUCCGGUGUGAGAUGAGCCCGCGUCCGAUUAGCUAGUUGGAGGGUAACGGCCCACCAAGGCGACGAUCGGUAGCCGAACUGAGAGGUUGAUCGGCCACAUUGGGACUGAGACACGGCCCAGACUCCUACGGGAGGCAGCAGUGGGGAAUAUUGCGCAAAUGGGGGAAACCCUGACGCAGUAACGCCGCGUGAAGGAUGAAGGUUUUCGGAUUGUAAACUUCUUUGAUUGGGGACGAUAAUGACGGUACCCAAAAACAAGCCACGGCUAACUACGUGCCAGCCGCGGC
RNAcentral lists this ribosomal RNA (473 nucleotides) under uncultured bacterium. RNAcentral's name for it is "bacterial SSU rRNA". It matches the Rfam family "Bacterial small subunit ribosomal RNA", at positions 25 to 518 of the family's 1533-position model. The record is from RNAcentral.